RNAcentral lists this ribosomal RNA (473 nucleotides) under uncultured bacterium. RNAcentral describes it as "SSU rRNA". It matches the Rfam family "Bacterial small subunit ribosomal RNA", at positions 26 to 518 of the family's 1533-position model. The record is from RNAcentral.
AGGACGAACGCUGGCGGCGUGCUUAACACAUGCAAGUCGAGCGGAAAGGCCCUUCGGGGUACUCGAGCGGCGAACGGGUGAGUAACACGUGAGCAAUCUGCCCUUAGCUUCGGGAUAGCCCCGGGAAACCGGGAUUAAUACCGAAUACGACCUCGGCCGACAUCGGCUUUGGUGGAAAGUUUUUCGGCUAGGGAUGAACUCGCGGCCUAUCAGCUUGUUGGUGGGGUAAUGGCCUACCAAGGCGACGACGGGUAGCCGGCCUGAGAGGGCGACCGGCCACACUGGGACUGAGACACGGCCCAGACUCCUACGGGAGGCAGCAGUGGGGAAUAUUGCGCAAUGGGCGAAAGCCUGACGCAGCGACGCCGCGUGGGGGAUGAAGGCCUUCGGGUUGUAACCCCUUUCAGCAGGGACGAAGCGAGAGUGACGGUACCUGCAGAAGAAGCGCCGGCUAACUACGUGCCAGCAGCCGC